RNAcentral lists this ribosomal RNA (440 nucleotides) under uncultured bacterium. Its description in RNAcentral is "partial 16S ribosomal RNA". It matches the Rfam family "Bacterial small subunit ribosomal RNA", at positions 339 to 795 of the family's 1533-position model. The record is from RNAcentral.
CUACGGGUGGCAGCAGUAAAGAAUCUUCCGCAAUGGGGGCAACCCUGACGGAGCGACACCGCGUGGUGGAUGACACCCUUCGGGGCGUAAACACCUUUAUGAGGGAAGAAGAUCUGACGGUACCUCAUGAAUAAGGACCGGCUAAUUACGUGCCAGCAGCCGCGGUAAUACGUAAGGUCCAAGCGUUAACCGGAAUAAUUGGGCGUAAAGCGUCCGCAGGUGGCGCAGCAAGUGGAUUAUUAAAUACCGAAGCUCAACUUCGGUGCUGUAGUCCAAACUGUUGUGCUAGAGGUAUGGAGAGGUGCGUGGAAUUGUGCAAGUAGGGGUAAAAUCCGUAGAUAUGCACAGGAACACCAAAAGCGAAGGCAGCGCACUGGCCAUUACCUGACACUCAGGGACGAAAGCGUGGGGAGCGAAAGGGAUUAGAUACCCCCGUAGUC